RNAcentral lists this ribosomal RNA (461 nucleotides) under uncultured bacterium. RNAcentral describes it as "SSU rRNA". It matches the Rfam family "Bacterial small subunit ribosomal RNA", at positions 26 to 518 of the family's 1533-position model. The record is from RNAcentral.
AGAAUCAACGCUGGCGGCGUGCCUAACACAUGCAAGUCGAACGAGAAAGUGGAGCAAUCCAUGAGUAAAGUGGCGACCGGGUGAGUAACACGUGACUAACCUACCCUCGAGUGGGGAAUAACAUCGGGAAACCGAUGCUAAUACCGCAUAACAUCGCAAGAUCAAAGCCGAAAGGCGCUUGAGGAGGGGGUCGCGGCUGAUUAGCUAGUUGGUAGGGUAAUGGCCUACCAAGGCUUAGAUCGGUAGCCGGCCUGAGAGGGCGCACGGCCACACUGGAACUGAAACACGGUCCAGACUCCUACGGGAGGCAGCAGUGGGGAAUUUUGCGCAAUGGGGGGAAACCCUGACGCAGCAACGCCGCGUGGAGGAUGAAGUCCCUUGGGACGUAAACUCCUUUCGACCGGGACGAUACUGACGGUACCGGAUGAAGAAGCACCGGCUAACUCUGCGCCAGCAGCCGC